GUGGUUACUAGCUCUACAAACCCUCAAGAGGUCGAAGAAAGGAAGGAGGUUAUAUUUACAUAUGACGUUGAUUUCCAGGAGAGUGACGUCAAGUGGAUUCCGAUUCCUCGAUGGGAGCCUUCCUGUCCAAUGGCCGAUGACCUGAUACACCGGUUCUCUAUCGCCACCUCCGGUGGUUUAUCCAGUCCAUCCUCCAGUCGUCUUCUGCCCGCCAGGUGGCUGUUAGCCUCGACUGAAUGAUGACUUCGGCCACUGCUACUAUCUGGUAGUAGCACGAAUAAAGCUCCCUUGAGUUACUUUAUGUAAUGUUAUAUAUGAAGAGUGUGAGUGUGUGUGAAGAAGUCUCUUGUCUUACCCCCAAGAAGACAAGGCGGGUUGUCCCUGUGUUCUUGUAGCAUGUGUUUUUCUAACCUGACUCUUGCUUUCUUCUCUUUUGUUUUCUUUUCACUGAGUCAGAGCGUAAAGGUGUAGUCGUUCUUUGCGUUGGAUGUCAGAGCGUAAAGGUGUAGCUGUUCUUUGCGUUGGAUGUCAUAGCUCUCACCUCAUUGUACUUAUUCGCAUCGAUACAAACGUACUAUAAAUGAAUUUGGGUUCCUACU
Molecule: long non-coding RNA, 599 nt
Organism: Eucalyptus grandis
Lineage: Eukaryota; Viridiplantae; Streptophyta; Magnoliopsida; Myrtales; Myrtaceae
Exons: 2
Source: RefSeq, a predicted model, not a curated record